Molecule: long non-coding RNA, 5721 nt
Organism: Oncorhynchus keta (chum salmon)
Lineage: Eukaryota; Metazoa; Chordata; Actinopteri; Salmoniformes; Salmonidae
Exons: 6
Source: RefSeq, a predicted model, not a curated record
AAGAAGCAGUGCAGCUUGACGGGGUUGUGUUUCGGAGGACGCUUGGCUCUCGACCUUCGCUUCUCCCAAACCCGUACUGGAGUUGCAGCGAUGGGACUAGACUGUAACUACCAAUUGGAUAUCACAACAUUUGGCAGAAAAAAAGGAUGAACUUGGUACCUUCAGGUGUUUGGAAAUUGCUCCCAAGGAUGAACCAGACUUGUGGAGGUCUACAAUGUUUUUUCUGAGGUCUUGGCUGAUUUCUUUUGAUUUUCCAAUGAUGCCAAGCAAAGAGGCACUGAGUUUAAAGAAACACUUUGGCCAGCAGGGCACACUACUGGAAGACCCCUCAGCAUGGUUAUCCCUAAAAGCAGCUAAUGGAUUGAACAUUUCAUAUUUGUGACUCCAGGUUAAAAGUGAAAUCCUGGUGUGGGGUCGGACCAGAGCGGGAGAAGAGGGCAAGAACUACCAGUGUCUAGUGGAGCCAAUCAUUGAGAAUGAGUUGCUCAUCACCCAAGCUGUGUUCAGAGUCCAGCAGGGAAGGCUGCCUAUCCGACUGAGGAACGUUGGAGACUGCCCUACGUCGACACCAAAAACUUGCCAUGGCCUUCAUAGUGAACCCUGCAGACGUCAUAUAAGAGAAUGAUCUUCUGUUGUUACAUAAUCGUUACAGAAAGCAUUGAUUCAAGGUAUGUUGAACUCAGGAAUAGUUAACCCAUGCACUAGACCAUGGGCAGCCCCUAUUGUUUUGGUUAGAAAGAAGGAUAGCAUAUUGAGAUUUUGUGUGUACUAUCGUAAAUUAAGCCAAACUAAAGUCACAAACCCACAAUGGUGCUUACCCACUCCCUCGUAUAUAGGAAUCUCUAGCCAGUUUGACCAAAGCCAAGUACUUCUCAACUUUAGACCUUGCUAUUGGCAGGCCCAGAUGUCUCCAGCACAUUAUGGAAAAGACUGCCUUUACAACUCCAAUGGAUUUGUUCGAGUUUGCUUGGAUGCCAUUUGGGGUUAUGCAACUGGCCUUCUGGCCUUGAUCCAAACAUGUUUAGGAUAGCAAACUCUAGAAUCUCUUUUGAUCUAUCUGGAUGAUGUUAUUGUGUUUUCUAAAUAUCUACAUCAGCCCAUCUAAAUCACAUGGAUUUAGUGUUCAGCAGACUAGCUAAGUAUGGACUCUGAAACCAAACAAAUGCAUCUUUCUGAAGCAAGAAGUACAGUACCUGGGGCAUCGGGUAUCUCCUGAAGGAGUAUCAUCAGACCCGGACAAGGUCAAGUGUGUGUGCAGGACUGGCCCACACCCAAAACGGUAAAGGAACUUCGGUCAUUUCUUGGCUUAGCAGGAUACUACCGUAGAUUUGUAAAGGACUUUGCCAGAGUGCCAGCCCCUUACUUGAGCUGUUAACAGGGUUGGCCCCUAAACAAACGAGAACGUCUCUCGACUCUCCUACCCACACUGGCUGGAAUCAGGCAUGUAAUAUGUCUUUUGCAAUCUUAAAACGGUCCCUCACUACCUCUCCAACUCUAGCUGACAUCUGUAUACAGAUGCCAGUAAGAGAGGCUUGGGGGCAGUUCUAGCCCAGGUACAAGAGGGUAAAGAACAGGUAAUCUCAUUUGCAAGUAGAAGCCUCCAUCCCUCAGAAGGAAAUUACAGUAACUAUAGCUCACUUAAACUUGAAUUCCUUGCACUGAAGUGGGCCGUCACUGAAACGUUUGCAGAAUACCUCAAUGCCUCACCUAUUGUGGUUUAUACAGGCAAUAAUCCUCUGGUACAUCUAAACUCAGCUAAAUUGGCAAGCAGAGAUGUGUAGCCAGAUUGGCAAGUAUUGUGUAGGACGUAAUAACCAGAGUGCAGAUGCCUUGUCUCGUUUCCAUCCAGAAAACACAGUCCCAAACCAGCUGGAGGACUGAGACCUGGCAUUCCAGGAGAUGCCACCCAAAGUGGUAAAGGCCCUGUUGGUGGGGUUGGGGUGGAGGACAAACAAGCUGUCAGAAGACCAGGAUGCAGAAGAAGGACACAGCAAGCCCCUCAUACCAGAGAUAACUGGCUCAGAGGAAGAGCCUUUAAGAACCGCACUGUGCUUUCUAUCUUCUCAUACUUAUAAGAGAAAAAUCACAGGAUCAUUAAGGUUACACUUUUACAUGAUCUCCAUCAGAGAUCCAUUCCUGUUACUGAAACAUGGUAUAGUACUUUAAGAGUUUUAAAUGAAAAUGUGAGAUAGUUACAAAACUGAAAUGUUGUUAUAUGGUAGGCCUAGUUUACAUGUACAUUCAAAAACCUUUCCAAUAACAGUAGAUGUCUAAAUGUGUGCUGUGUUAACACAGGUCAGGCAGGGUUUCCAUAAAGAAUUCUUAAACACUCCCACUGGGCACACAGUGGUUGAAUCAACAUUGUUUCCACGUCAUUUCAAUUAAAUUACGCUGAACCAACAUGGAAUAGCCAUUGAACUGACGUCUGUGCCCAGUGGGCUGUGACUUCUGGGAGAGGAUGAGGGCAGCCACCUGACAGACAGGAACGAGAGUCGAAAGAGGCCCUAGAUGUGCUCCGGGAAUGGAAUCAUCUUACAUGGAAAGAGGGUGUGUUGUGUCGGACAUUCCAGGACCUCAAAGAGGUAGAGCCGAUUGUCCAGCUGGUUGUCCCUACUGGUGAGAGACAGCUGGGAACUGUAUCAUGGGAGGGCAGGCUACUGGGAGGCAGAAAAGACCACAGCGCUAAUCCAUGCCAGAUUCUAUUGGCCAAACCUAGCCAGAGACAUUCCAAAUUGGUGUGCCACUUGUCAGCUUUGUGUCUUACGAAAGCCCCAGUUUGUCUGAAACAAGCACCUUCAGUGCCAAUCAAAAUGUCAGCCCCUCUUGAACUAAUGUCUAUAGACUACCUGAGCAUAGGUCAUCCAGAGACCUUCAUCACAACGUGCUGGUAAUGGUAGACCAUUUCACUAAAUAUACUUGGGCCACCCCUACUAGGGACCAGACGGAGACUACUACUGCAAAUGCACUGUGGCAGAAGGUAAUUCAGCCUUUUGGUGCUCCCUGGCGCUUAUUGGACAUUUUGAAUAUCAGUUUAUAAAGAAUCUAUGUGUAUUGUAUGGAAUAACCAAAAGUCACACUACUCCUUAUCAUCCAUCAGGGAACGGCGGGUGUGAAAGAUUUAAUAGAACGACCAUAGGUUUGCUGGGGACGCUUGGAGUGGAAAGACGGAAAAACGGCGCUGGCAUUUCCUGCAGGAAAUGAUUGAGAUAUACAACAACACAUUGCACAACCCUACAGGAUAUACUGUACACCUGCUGAGGAAUCCCCUCUGCUGCCUGGGGAGUAGACACUCAUGAGAGACAUUAGAGCGAGGGGCCGGGGUGCUGAGCCGGAAGCUGGAGAUGGGUGCCAUGGUGAUGCAGAGAAACUAUGAGCGGGAGAUGGGUGCCAUGGUGAUGCAGAGAAACCAUGAGCGGGAGAUGGGUGCUAUCAUGCCACGGAAGACUGCAGGUGGGAGAUGGGUGUCCGUGGGACUCCAAUCUGAAGAUGGGGACCGCUGUGGCAGGGCUGAAAAUGGCCAAUGUAACCUUCAUGAACCAAGAGAUCUACAAGGACCACCAAGGGAGUUCACCCCAUAAGAAACAGAGACUUAGGUUAAACGGUUUUGUUAUGUUAUGGCCAUUGGGGACACUGACCUUUCAGCGGGGAAGGAUGUAACAGGGUUCUACAAACCUGCUUAACGUUAUUACUUCUGUCACUAGUGUGGUUUGACUGAGCACAUAUUUUACUUCCUUCACUUGACUGUUUUCACAUUUUGAAUUAUUUGCACGAUUGAGAAUUCUGCACUUAACGUUUGAUUUUGCGCACGUCACCAUGGUUUGCUGUGUUUCAUGAUCGAUUUAAGGUGUGUACAGUGCUGGUUACACCCCUCUCUCUCUCUCUCUCUCUCUUUCUCUUUCUUUCUCUUCCUACAUAAUGAUCUCCAGUCAGUUCUCUGGUAACAAUGUCUGAAACCAGGUGUUUCUGUUAAGGUUGGUCCGCAAUCCUUUUCCUCGUGGUCGUGUGCCCUAUUGUAUAAUUAUUGUAAUGCUGUCUGAUAUCGGGUGUAUGUGGCAAGGUCUGUGCUGGGCCGCAACUGGAUCGUUGGAAACCCUGAGCUGCCUGUGAGCUAUCCACGCAACUGUUGAUGCUACUGUAGAUACUGCCGCUGAGCAGCUACUGAGCUACUAAAUGAACUGAGCUCAACUUGAAUGUGCGCAGUACGUGAAGCAGACUACGGUGGGCCGCUCUGCUUGAACACUCCAACAGCAACGGAGGAACUGAACUAGCCUACUGGACUGCUGGCAAUCCUUUUUAAUCAAGAACCUUUUUUGUGACUCCCUUUCCUCUUCCCUUAGAAUAUUUCAUCAAUAUUGUUGUUUUGAAUAGAGCAUGGGUGUGGUUUCUCUUGGUCAUCCGGGUGUCAAUGCUCAAACCUGGUUUAUUCUGAAAGUAUUUGCGUCUAGUCUCGCCCCAACACAUACCGUUCCUUAUAGAAGCACCUGGUUUAGUGAUUGUUGUGAUCAGUGUCUAGGCAGCAGAAUCCUCAUAACAUAUUUCCAAGCUCUUUGAUAUAUCUGGAUGAUGGUUGGUUCUUAAGUGGAGCUUGUACAGACGUGCUACAAUUUGUUAGUACCCCUCCACAAAAAAAAAUGAAGAAUGCACAACUUUCUCUGAAAUAACUUGAAACUGACAAAAGUAAUUGGCAUCCACCAUUGUUUAUUCCAUAUUUAAUUGAAAUCAGACCUUGAUUUUUUUAUUCAACAUUAUAUUGUAAAAAAAAACAAAUGAAAAUGGCAUGGGCAAAAAUGAUGGGACCCUUCACCUAAUAUUUUGUAGCACAACCUUUAGAGGCAAUCACUGCAAUCAAAUGUUUUCUGUAGCUCUCAAUGAGAUUUCUGCACCUGUUAACAGGUAGGUUGGCCCACUAUUCCUGAGCAAACUGCUCCAGCUGUCUCAGGUUUGAUGGGUGUCUUCUCCAGACUGCAAUUUUCAGCCCUUUCCAUAGAGCUUUCUGACACUGGGCAGUACGUUUCACUCCAGAAUGCCUUGAUGGUCUUGAUUUCAUUGUGCCCUGCACAGAUUCAAGGCACCCUGUGCCAGGCGCAGCACCAAAACAUAACUGAGCCGCCUCCAUGUUUCACUGUAGGUAUGGUGUUCUUUCUUUGAAAGCUUCAUUAUUUUUUGUCUCUGAACACAGAGCUGAUGUGACCUGCCAAAAAUAUCAAAUUUUGACUCAUCUGUCCGAAGGACAUUCUCCCAGAAAGAUUGUGGCUUGUCAAUAUGCCUCUUAGCAAAUUCCAGUCUGGCUUUGUUUUUCUUUCACAAGUAGUCCUCCGGGGUCUUCUUCCAUGGAGCCCACUUUUGCUCAGAAAGCGACUGAUGGUGCGUUCAGAAACUGACGUACCUUCACCCUGGAGUUCAGCUUGCAUCUCGUUGGCAGUUAUCCUUGGUUCUUUUUCUACCAUUCACACUCUCCUUCUGUUCAAUCUGGGGUUGAUUUUCCUCUUGCUGCCGCGCCCAGGGAGGUUGGCUACAGUUCCAUGGACCUUACACUUCUUAAUAAUAUUUGUAAAUGUUGUCACAGUAACAUCAAGCUGCUUGGAGAUGGUCUUGUAGCCUUUACCGUUACCAUGCUUGUCUAUUAUUUUAUUUCUGAUCUCCUCAGACAAAUCUCUCCUUCGCUUUCUCUGGUCCGUGUUCAGUGUGGUGACCACAAUGAUACCAAACAGCACAGUAACU